AGAUGCCGAAAGGAAAGAAGGCCAAGGGGAAGAAGGUGGCUCCGGCCCCUGCUGUCGUGAAGAAACAGGAGGUUAAGAAAGUGGCGAGUCCCCUGUUUGACAAAAGGCCUAAGAAUUUUGGCAUUGGACAGGACAUCCAGCCCAAAAGAGACCUCACCUGCUUCAUGAAAUUGUCUGUAUUAGGUUAUAUCAGGUUGCAGUGGCAGAGAGCCAUUCUCCGUAAGCGACUUGAAAGUGCCUCCUGCGUGCGAUUAACCAGUUCACCCAAGCCCUGCACCUCCAAACAGCUACUCAGCUGCUUCAGCUGGCCCACAACUACAGACCAGAGACAAAGCAAGAGAAGAAGCAGAGGCUGUUGGUCCGGGCUGAGAAGAAAGCUGCCAGCAAAGGGGACAUCCCCACUAGGAGACCACUUGUCCUUCAAGCAGGAGUUAACACCGUCACCACCUUGGUGGAGAACAAGAAGACUCAGCUGGUGGUGAUGGCACACGAUGUGGAUACCAUCCAGCUGGUUGUCUUCCUGCCUGCCUUAUGUCGUAAAAUGGGGGUCUCUUCCCCUGCAUUAUCAAGGGGAAGGCAAGACUGGGACGUGUAGUCCACAGGAAGACCUGCACCACUGUUGCCUUCACGCAGGUGAACUCGGAAGACAAAGGAGCUUUGGCUAAGCUGGCGGAAGCUAUGAGGACCAACUACAACAACAGAUAACGAUGAGAUCCACCGUCACUGGGGAGGCAAUGUCCUGGGUCCCAAAUCUGUGGCUCACAUUGCCAAGCUUGGAAAGGCAAAGUUUAAAGAA
RNAcentral lists this long non-coding RNA (796 nucleotides) under Homo sapiens (human). RNAcentral describes it as "non-protein coding lnc-NPVF-6:1". Lineage: Eukaryota; Metazoa; Chordata; Mammalia; Primates; Hominidae. The record is from RNAcentral.